This 494-nucleotide ribosomal RNA is filed under the name uncultured bacterium. Its description in RNAcentral is "partial 16S ribosomal RNA". It matches the Rfam family "Bacterial small subunit ribosomal RNA", at positions 28 to 507 of the family's 1533-position model. The record is from RNAcentral.
GACGAACGCUGGCGGCGUGCUUAACACAUGCAAGUCGAACGGUGAAGCGCCUUCCUUUUUGGUGGGUGUGGAUGAGUGGCGAAAGGGUGAGUAACACGUGAGUAACCUGCCCCCUUCUUCUGGAUAACCGCAUGAAAGUGUGGCUAAUACGGGAUAUUCUGGGUCUGUCGCAUGAUGGGUCUGGGAAAGUUGUUGUUUCGGUGGGGGAUGGGCUCGCGGCCUAUCAGCUUGUUGGUGGGGUGGUGGCCUACCAAGGCGGUGACGGGUAGCCGGCCUGAGAGGGUGGACUGUCAGACUGGGACUGAGACACGGCCCAGACUGCUACGGGAGGCAGCAGUGGGGAAUACGGCACAAUGGGCGGAAGCAUGAUGCAGCGACGCCGCGUGAGGGAUGGAGGCCUGCGGGUUGUGAACCUCUGUCGCCAGUGAAGCAGGCCUGCCUCGUUUGUGGGUGGGUUGACGGUAGCUGGAGAAGAAGCGCCGGCUAACUACGUG